Molecule: ribosomal RNA, 76 nt
Filed under: Aspergillus fumigatus
Lineage: Eukaryota; Fungi; Ascomycota; Eurotiomycetes; Eurotiales; Aspergillaceae
Description: partial 5.8S ribosomal RNA
Rfam family: 5.8S ribosomal RNA
About the family: 5.8S ribosomal RNA (5.8S rRNA) is a component of the large subunit of the eukaryotic ribosome. It is transcribed by RNA polymerase I as part of the 45S precursor that also contains 18S and 28S rRNA.
Source: RNAcentral
GUGAAUCAUCGAGUCUUUGAACGCACAUUGCGCCCCCUGGUAUUCCGGGGGGCAUGCCUGUCCGAGCGUCAUUGCU